Molecule: long non-coding RNA, 264 nt
Filed under: Panax ginseng (ginseng)
Lineage: Eukaryota; Viridiplantae; Streptophyta; Magnoliopsida; Apiales; Araliaceae
Description: long non-coding RNA (PGIN_LNC010028)
Source: RNAcentral
UUGAUUUAGUUUGACUAAUGCUUAUAAUAUGGUCAUCAUCCUCAUGUUUAUAAUAUGUUGAAAGUCAUCUGUGGCCUGUAGUGCAUAGAUGGACUUGGUAUGAUUAUAACCAGGGAUUAUUUGGUAUAAUCAUGACCGUAAUGUUACAAAUAAUGUGGAAAAAGUCCUCAUUGGCCCGUAGUGCAUUGAUGGACAGUUUUUGGUAUGAUUAUGGCUAUGGAUUCUCUUCGGCCAAGGGUGUAAAGAUGAAUUGUUUUAUGGCAU